GAAAUGCGAUACUUGGUGUGAAUUGCAGAAUCCCGUGAACCAUCGAGUCUUUGAACGCAAGUUGCGCUCGAAGCCUUCGGGCCAAGGGCACGCCUGCCUGGGCGUCACGCACUGCGUCGCCCUAAACCUUACAAGGGUUUGGGCGGAGAUUGGCCCCCCGUGCGCUCUUAGCUCGCGGUCGGCCUAAAUACGGACCCCGUGGCCGCGAAGUGCCGCGACGUUUGGUGGUGUACUUCAUGGCCUCGCGUCGCGUCUUUCGCGGUCCUCUGGUGUCUAAGGACCCCUCAACCUUUGCGACCCCAGGUCAGGCGGGAUUACCCGCUGAGUUUAA
Molecule: unclassified non-coding RNA, 331 nt
Filed under: uncultured fungus
Lineage: Eukaryota; Fungi
Description: sequence contains ITS1
Rfam family: 5.8S ribosomal RNA (bases 1-107)
Source: RNAcentral